Molecule: RNase P RNA, 300 nt
Filed under: bovine gut metagenome
Description: Bacterial RNase P class A
Rfam family: Bacterial RNase P class A
About the family: Ribonuclease P (RNase P) is a ubiquitous endoribonuclease, found in archaea, bacteria and eukarya as well as chloroplasts and mitochondria. Its best characterised activity is the generation of mature 5'-ends of tRNAs by cleaving the 5'-leader elements of precursor-tRNAs.
Source: RNAcentral
GAGGAAAGUCCGGGCUUCACAGGGCAGGAUGCCGGAUAACGUCCGGUGGAGGCGACUCCCAGGAAAGUGCAACAGAAAUAAACCGCCAUAUAUCCGUAUAUGGUAAGGGUGGAAAGGCAGUGUAAGAGACUACCGCCGGCGCGGCGACGUACCGGGCACAUGUAAACCCCAUCCGAAGCAAGACCGAAAAGGAGCAUAAGGCGGCCCGUCUGCUCCAAGGUUGGCCGCUUGAGCCUGCCGGCAACGGCAGGUCUAGACAGAUGAUCAUUCACGACAUAACCCGGCUUAUCGUCCCGCUUG